AGCUCCAAUUGGGGGGGGGGGGAAGUGAAUGAGAGGUGCCGCGUAAAGUUGUUGCGCGUGAAAUGUGCAUCAACAGCAGCGGCCGUCGAAUUUCCGCAGGCACUUCAGCGUGGCGCAAGACGACGCUGCCGGGGUUUUCACGGCAACUAGAAGCCCUUUAUUAAUAAAACGCACAUUGAUUCCACACAGUGAAUGAACUGUUUAUUAUGCAACAGUGGAAACGCCGCUAACAAAAAUAACUAUAAGCCCAGAGUGGGAUUUGCGAACUGUGCAAACUUCACGCAAAACGUCUAAAACCCGCACAGUCAGGAUUCAAACUCCGAGCAUUAAAGUGUGAGGAGCAGAGCUCCGCCGUCUCAGGCGGCCUCUGCUGUGCAGCUCGGCUUUUCCUCUGCCCCAAAGUUCGCACAAAUGUGGAUAUUUCGGUGACCUCUUUAAUGGGACAAAAGAUGCCGCAGAUCGAUUCGUUACACCUUUUUAGUGAGGCUUCUGGUGAAGGGGAGGGGCUCUGAAUCCACAAGAGGCUCCAUUAAUAGCCUACACUCCAUCCUAACUAUUAUCCACCAUAAAGUGUUUAUAAAGGGCACACAACUAGGCUAAUGUUAUCUUAAAUGAAGACGGCGUGAUAUAUCCGUUUAACGCACAACCCGCCCAGCGAGAUAAGAGACGGGAAAGUUUUUUAUUGUUAUUAUCGAGCACCAGAACCGCGGUGAUAAUCACAACAUAAUUCUCGUGGCUCGGUUCACGCUGGACGCGCACUUCCUCCGUCUCCAAACAGCCAGCGGACUCCGGGGCGUCAUUGGCCCCGCUGCAGCAGCUCCGGGCGACGGGACGAGGUCUGGGCUGGAUCCUUUACCUGCAGCCGGAUUACAAACUUUCCGCACACCAGCGGCUCAGACCCAGUUUAUCCACAUCUGUGUUGACGUGGCCAUUUAAAUAGACGCUGUUUAAUAAGAUCCACUGGAUCAUGCGGCGAAGGAGCCCAGCAGGUUGUCAAAUCAGACGCGGCAGAAAGCACGGCCGAGGCGACGCCGACAGCGACCCGUUCUCCGACCUCGGUUUGCGCGGCGACGUCUGCACCGUCAUCAGCAGAAAUAUCAGCUAAUGCAGCUUAACAACAAGAGACGCCUGUAGAGCGGCGAACGGAGCGAGUGGCUCAGGGCGAGACAUCAGAUCACAGCGGCUGUUGUCACCUACAAUCCCUGAGCAGAGAACGGCUCUCCCUUUUUCUGUGAAACAGUUGCAGUGGAUGUGGGUUAAUAAAGACACUGUGUGAACAUA
This is a long non-coding RNA of Betta splendens (Siamese fighting fish), 1281 nucleotides long. RefSeq lists it as uncharacterized. The transcript has 3 exons. The record is from RefSeq and is a predicted model, not a curated record. Lineage: Eukaryota; Metazoa; Chordata; Actinopteri; Anabantiformes; Osphronemidae.